GAAAUGAUAUGCAUGCAGAGAUCAUUUUUUUUUUCUCUUUUUUUUUUCAAUUUUUUAUUGAUUCUUUUUUUUUGUUGAUUGCGUUUCUUUUGAAAAAUAAACAUGCUAUGAUGCACAUGAUGCAGACACGACUGGCAAGCGGUGCAUCUCUGAACACAGGCUCAAAGCUUCGGCUCGAACUCUGAUCACAAUCAUCUGAAACCCAAAGUCAACUGGUCAACUGUCAUCUG
Molecule: long non-coding RNA, 230 nt
Filed under: Lathyrus oleraceus (garden pea)
Lineage: Eukaryota; Viridiplantae; Streptophyta; Magnoliopsida; Fabales; Fabaceae
Description: Pisum sativum (pea) long non-coding RNA (PSAT_LNC041356)
Source: RNAcentral